This 1543-nucleotide long non-coding RNA is filed under the name Chrysemys picta bellii (western painted turtle). RNAcentral describes it as "lncRNA (ENSCPBG00000001517.1)". Lineage: Eukaryota; Metazoa; Chordata; Testudines; Emydidae. The record is from RNAcentral.
GGGGGCUCAGCCUGGAUCCCAGGGCAUGGGUGGCUGGAGCGUAGCUUCCUCCCCCACACACUCCCACUGGUGCUAAUUUGCCCCACACCCCAGUUGGCAUUGUGACCAGAGAGACCCAUGGACUGUGGAGACUGAACUGCCCUGGGACCUCAGUAGUGGGUCUCAGUGGCUCAGAGCUGAGGCACAUCAAUGCAGGCUGGUGUGGGGGCUUCAUUCACAAGGGCUCCCUAGCCACCUCUUCUUGCCAACCAAUGCCAGGGAUGGGGCUGGCCCUUGGGUUAUGCUGAAGACAGGUUCCCACAUGAUUGGCUGAUUAUUUUUCCUCCCAACUCAAACAUCUGCUCUCCCUGCACCUGCCUCCAUGGAUGGGGCAGCUCCACUGAUUCAGCACUGGACAGGGGCAGCCAGGACUUGGCCAGGCCUCUGGGAAGCCACUUACAACAAAAGAGCUGCUGGAGGCUACUUCCCUUCCAGGUCAUCUAGCCCGCCCACCUCCCCAGAGUCAAGGCCAGAUUGUUUUCUAGUGUUUUCUCCAGCCUUGCAGGAAGGCUGGAUUGUCAACAGGAGUUCAAAUUCCCACUGAAUGGAAUUUGGGGGCCUAGUUCCCUGAAGUUCUUUUGAAAAUCCAAGCCUUAUGUGCCCUCUCCCUUGGGGAGAUAUUCCACAGCCUGAGAGAUCUCAUCAUUUUUCUUGAUUCUCAGCCCGUUUCCCCUUUCUGAAGGUCUGCUCUGACGCCUAGCCAAUGAAAGACUCCUAUUGACUUCAAGUGGGAGUUGGGUCAAGAUCUGAAUUUCAUCCCAUUUCUCCUUGUGAUACCUCCAGGCCUCCACUCCAAAUGACUCUCCCUCCUCAGUGUUUACAUUCUUCUGAUAUGUCUUGACAGUGACUAUCUAACCCAGGUAUUGGCCAGCCAGGUGAGACAUAACGAGCUAUUAAUCUCCCCUUUUAAAUCAAUCCCUCCAGCCCCUGUGGUCAUUUCUGUUGUUUCCUUAUGAAUUCCCUCACCCCAGCCAUAUGCAGAGGGACUAUCACGGGAUUGCAUAGGCGUAGCUGGGAGCAGAAUUUGGCGCCUUGAGUAGUCUAUGCCAAGAGCAUGUCUGAGUGGCCACCUCCUUUGUUUGCUAUGUUGAUAAGCUGCACAGGAUGCUGGCACUGUAUAAGCAAUCAUAAACAGAAACAAGACUGUAAAGGGCUAUGCAGUCCUUGAACCCUGAUCACUUGCACUUAUUAAAGAUCUGGCUAUCUGUCUCACAAUAGCAGAGUUCUGGCUAGAUUUCAGUUUGAGGAAGCACAUUCUGCCUCUCUAGAGUUCCUUCUCCAGUUUUAGGCAGAUGCAGGAUUUUGUCUUCAUUUCCUGUCCUGGACAGCAGCGUCGUACUGCUGUUUGGUGUUAUGCAACCUUCCCCUGUGUUCCAUCCCAGAGGUUGCUGGAUUUCAGCUGGAGGGUGUGUGAGUGAAAUGAUUCUUGUAAAACACUUUGGGCCAUUCAGCAUGGGAGGUGCUACAUAAUAAAAAAAAUAUAUUGCUGCCUAGGAAAUGUAAU